AUAUUCUUGAGGUGAUUGAGGAUCACAUGGUGCCUAGAUUUAACUUCUUCAAGCUCUUCACUGUUGUUUUUCCCAGCUGGGAAAAGAGAUUUGAGUGCAGUAUCAAGGGUAGUUUUAUCUGGUUUACGGAUGAUUCUAAAACCACCACUGGUGCUAGGACAAAACAUUCUCGUUCCUUUGCAGCGAUUUACUACAAGGGAACGGGAAUGUCUUAUUUCUCUUCCCUCGGACGGUUUGCCAGUCUUUUAGGAAAAUUAUGCUAUUUCUGAUGUGUUAAAAUUAUUGAAAUAUCCCCUAUCAAGGUUAAACACAUUUAUAUCCUAUCUGAUAGCCAGGCG
RNAcentral lists this long non-coding RNA (338 nucleotides) under Androctonus crassicauda. The record is from RNAcentral. Lineage: Eukaryota; Metazoa; Arthropoda; Arachnida; Scorpiones; Buthidae.